This 253-nucleotide ribosomal RNA is filed under the name uncultured bacterium. RNAcentral describes it as "partial 16S ribosomal RNA". It matches the Rfam family "Bacterial small subunit ribosomal RNA", at positions 524 to 776 of the family's 1533-position model. The record is from RNAcentral.
UACGUAGGUGGCAAGCGUUGUCCGGAUUUACUGGGCGUAAAGGGCGUGCAGGCGGUUUGUUAAGUCUAGGGUGAAAGCUCCCGGCUCAACUGGGAGAGGUCCUUGGAUACUGGCGAACUUGAGGGAUGCAGAGGAAAGUGGAAUUCCCGGUGUAGUGGUGAUAUGCGUAGAUAUCGGGAGGAACACCAGUGGCGAAGGCGGCUUUCUGGGCAUUUCCUGACGCUGAGACGCGAAAGCGUGGGGAGCGAACAGG